UGAGUUUGAUCCUGGCUCAGGACGAACGCUGGCGGCGUGCUUAACACAUGCAAGUCGAACGGUGAUGUCAGAGCUUGCUCUGGCGGAUCAGUGGCGAACGGGUGAGUAACACGUGAGUAACCUGCCCCCGACUCUGGGAUAACUGCUAGAAAUGGUAGCUAAUACCGGAUAUGAYGAUUGGCCGCAUGGUCUGGUCGUGGAAAGAAUUUCGGUUGGGGAUGGACUCGCGGCCUAUCAGGUUGUUGGUGAGGUAAUGGCUCACCAAGCCUACGACGGGUAGCCGGCCUGAGAGGGUGACCGGCCACACUGGGACUGAGACACGGCCCAGACUCCUACGGGAGGCAGCAGUGGGGAAUAUUGCACAAUGGGCGCAAGCCUGAUGCAGCAACGCCGCGUGAGGGAUGACGGCCUUCGGGUUGUAAACCUCUUUUAGUAGGGAAGAAGCGAAAGUGACGG
RNAcentral lists this ribosomal RNA (456 nucleotides) under Clavibacter michiganensis subsp. insidiosus. RNAcentral describes it as "bacterial SSU rRNA". It matches the Rfam family "Bacterial small subunit ribosomal RNA", at positions 1 to 475 of the family's 1533-position model. The record is from RNAcentral. Lineage: Bacteria; Bacillati; Actinomycetota; Actinomycetes; Micrococcales; Microbacteriaceae.